Molecule: long non-coding RNA, 1105 nt
Filed under: Capsicum annuum
Lineage: Eukaryota; Viridiplantae; Streptophyta; Magnoliopsida; Solanales; Solanaceae
Description: long non-coding RNA (CANN_LNC007845)
Source: RNAcentral
AAAAAUGAGCCCGUGACAAGUGGUAUCAAAACAUAGAAUUAAGAGCAAAGUGUGAAUGUUAUUGCAGCGAUCACGUCAAAGCAUAGAUUGACAUUCGUCGUGCUCAUGAAGAUCGUUUGAGACGAUGCUACCUUGUAAAGGGAAUUGGUUGUAUGUUGAGACGCUUGAGUUAGCUAUGUCAACCAAGGCCCAUCAUUUCAGAAUCACGCCAUGUCACAACCGUUGAUUCCGCCUUCGUCUGUGUGGGUUGAUUCGUCUUCGAAGCAUCCGAGAGUGAUUGAGAAACCUUCAAGGGAUGACUUCAAAUCAGUGGGUACCGUAUGUAGAGGGACUCUAUAGAGGCACGUUGGGCCAACAGGUGUGGUCAUCGUGCGAUGCUGUUUGAGUGGAACCACAAAGUUGGACAAUCGGAUAGCUGGUGCUCAAAUGUCCUUGAUUGUGGGGAACCGUCAGUUCGUCAGAAACUCUGUUAGCGGUAUGUUGGCAACUAUGGUCAGAAGAUAGCAUGGACUUGACAAGGACGUCAAGAAAGGUUGGCGAAGUGCAUUAGAAGCUUGUCAGUCAAGUAUCUUGUUCAUGCAAAGCGACGAGCCAGGAUUGUCAUCCAUGAAAGAGUCUAGGCUGAGUUAAAGAAGGGGAUAUGCCGAUAAGUCGGAUGGUCAAGAGGAUGAGCCACGUCUGCCAGGUCGUGCAGCCAUGUUCCAAGAGAGUUGAAGCCGUAGACUAUAAACAUGGGGCUUGAUCAUGCUUAGGUCUUGCCAUGGAUGCAAUUAAGGCAUCAAGUUGAGUGUCCACCAAGAAGGUUGGACUUGAGCUUUGUCGAGGGCAUGUGAAGGGGUCCGUCUAAAGAAAGUCGGUCUCAAGGUUGGAACGACAACCUAGCCACCUAAUGGGAUGCGAAGAGUGGCAGGAGAGGCCCUAAACCUAGCCACCUAAUGGGUUGCGAAGAGGGGCAGGAGAGUCCCUAAACCUAGCCAUCCAAUGGGUUGCGAGGAGUGGCAGGAGAGUCCCUACAGAAGAGAGCCAUGCAGGAUGAGUGGGCAGUGAAGCCGACGGCAUGGGCAAGCAGAGCUUGCAGUUGGAGAGAGUGCUAUGCAGGGCAAAA